AGCGAACGCUGGCGGCAGGCUUAACACAUGCAAGUCGAGCGGGCACUCUCGGGUGUCCGCGGCGGACGGGUGAGUAACGCGUGGGAACGCGCCCUCUGGUUCGGAAUAACUCAGGGAAACUUGAGCUAAUACCGGAUACGCCCUUUUGGGGAAAGGCUUGCUGCCGGAGGAUCGGCCCGCGUCUGAUUAGCUUGUUGGUGAGGUUACGGCUCACCAAGGCGACGAUCAGUAGCUGGUCUGAGAGGAUGAUCAGCCACACUGGGACUGAGACACGGCCCAGACUCCUACGGGAGGCAGCAGUGGGGAAUAUUGGACAAUGGGCGCAAGCCUGAUCCAGCCAUGCCGCGUGAGUGAUGAAGGCCUUAGGGUUGUAAAGCUCUUUUAUCCGGGACGAUAAUGACGGUACCGGAGGAAUAAGCCCCGGCUAACUUCGUG
Molecule: ribosomal RNA, 435 nt
Filed under: uncultured bacterium
Lineage: Bacteria
Description: partial 16S ribosomal RNA
Rfam family: Bacterial small subunit ribosomal RNA
Source: RNAcentral